UAGGGAAUCUUCGGCAAUGGGGGGAACCCUGACCGAGCAACGCCGCGUGAGUGAAGAAGGUUUUCGGAUCGUAAAGCUCUGUUGUUAAGGAAGAACGAGUGUGAGAAUGGAAAGUUCAUACUGUGACGGUACUUAACCAGAAAGGGACGGCUAACUACGUGCCAGCAGCCACGGUAAUACGUAGGUCCCAAGCGUUGUCCGGAUUUAUUGGGCGUAAAGCGAGCGCAGGCGGUUAGAUAAGUCUGAAGUUAAAGGCAGUGGCUCAACCAUUGUAGGCUUUGGAAACUGUUUAACUUGAGUGCAGAAGGGGAGAGUGGAAUUCCAUGUGUAGCGGUGAAAUGCGUAGAUAUAUGGAGGAACACCGGUGGCGAAAGCGGCUCUCUGGUCUGUAACUGACGCUGAGGCUCGAAAGCGUGGGGAGCGAACAGG
Molecule: ribosomal RNA, 429 nt
Filed under: Bacteroidota bacterium
Lineage: Bacteria; Pseudomonadati; Bacteroidota
Description: Bacteroidetes bacterium partial 16S ribosomal RNA
Rfam family: Bacterial small subunit ribosomal RNA
Source: RNAcentral